RNAcentral lists this ribosomal RNA (253 nucleotides) under uncultured bacterium. RNAcentral's name for it is "partial 16S ribosomal RNA". It matches the Rfam family "Bacterial small subunit ribosomal RNA", at positions 524 to 776 of the family's 1533-position model. The record is from RNAcentral.
UACGAAGGGGGCUAGCGUUGCUCGGAAUCACUGGGCGUAAAGCGCACGUAGGCGGGUUCUUAAGUCAGGGGUGAAAUCCUGGAGCUCAACUCCAGAACUGCCUUUGAUACUGGGAAUCUCGAGUCCGGGAGAGGUGAGUGGAACUGCGAGUGUAGAGGUGAAAUUCGUGGAUAUUCGCAAGAACACCAGUGGCGAAGGCGGCUCACUGGCCCGGUACUGACGCUGAGGUGCGAAAGCGUGGGGAGCAAACAGG